RNAcentral lists this ribosomal RNA (510 nucleotides) under uncultured bacterium. RNAcentral's name for it is "partial 16S ribosomal RNA". It matches the Rfam family "Bacterial small subunit ribosomal RNA", at positions 28 to 507 of the family's 1533-position model. The record is from RNAcentral.
GACGAACGCUGGCGGCGUGCUUAACACAUGCAAGUCGAACGAAGAGCGACGGAAGCUUGCUUCUAUCAAUCUUAGUGGCGAACGGGUGAGUAACGCGUAAUCAACCUGCCCUUCAGAGGGGGACAACAGUUGGAAACGACUGCUAAUACCGCAUACGAUCUAAUCUCGGCAUCGAGGAUGGAUGAAAGGUGGCCUCUACAUGUAAGCUAUCACUGAAGGAGGGGAUUGCGUCUGAUUAGCUAGUUGGAGGGGUAACGGCCCACCAAGGCGAUGAUCAGUAGCCGGUCUGAGAGGAUGAAUGGCCACAUUGGGACUGAGACACGGCCCAGACUCCUACGGGAGGCAGCAGUGGGGAAUCUUCCGCAAUGGACGAAAGUCUGACGGAGCAACGCCGCGUGAGUGAUGACGGCCUUCGGGUUGUAAAGCUCUGUUAAUCGGGACGAAAGGCCUUCUUGCGAAUAGUGAGAAGGAUUGACGGUACCGGAAGAGAAAGCCACGGCUAACUACGUG